GUCAGAGGUGGCUGUGCGUGGGAGACCCCUUGGGUCUGCCGGUCCCUAGAGUCCCGGUCUGCGAACCCGCGUACAGCUGCCACCCCA
RNAcentral lists this non-coding RNA (87 nucleotides) under Pseudomonas thivervalensis. The record is from RNAcentral. Lineage: Bacteria; Pseudomonadati; Pseudomonadota; Gammaproteobacteria; Pseudomonadales; Pseudomonadaceae.